RNAcentral lists this ribosomal RNA (400 nucleotides) under uncultured bacterium. RNAcentral's name for it is "bacterial SSU rRNA". It matches the Rfam family "Bacterial small subunit ribosomal RNA", at positions 29 to 414 of the family's 1533-position model. The record is from RNAcentral.
AACGAACGCUGGCGGCGUGCUUAACACAUGCAAGUCGAACGCGAAAGGGGCUUCGGUCCUGAGUAAAGUGGCGCACGGGUGAGUAACGCGUAGAUAACCUGUCUUUCUGUCUGGAAUAAUACGCCGAAAGGGGUACUAAUACCGGAUAUUCUUGCUUUAUUAUAAGUUUUGUCAAGCAAAGGUGGCCUCUGUAUAUGCUACUGCAGGAAGAGGGGUCUGCGUACCAUUAGCUAGUAGGUGGGGUAAUGGCCUACCUAGGCGACGAUGGUUAGCGGGUCUGAGAGGAUGAUCCGCCACACUGGCACUGGAACACGGGCCAGACUCCUACGGGAGGCAGCAGUGAGGAAUAUUGCGCAAUGGGGGCAACCCUGACGCAGCGACGCCGCGUGAGUGAGGAAGG